UUAGGGACAGGGUUUGUCCCUCUGUCAACGAAACGGUUCCGCGCCCAAAUACACAGUGAAGUUUACGAAACACAAUCCAAAGAAACACGUCCUUCUACAGUGCUGUCUCUGCUUCAGCUUCAGCCAUCAUCAUCGUCUUCGUUGCCGCUCCUGAAUCCCAGCAAAAUCGAGGACGAACUGCUGCACCGCCUGCCUCCGCCCCCGCACUUCAUCGACCACCGCCACUACCACCACCAGUCAAUCGUCGACGACGACGCCUUCUCCCUCUCCGAAAUCGCCCUUUUCCGCGACCACGACGAAGACGAAGACGAGGCCAGCGGAAGCCGCACUUCUUCCGACGGCGAAAUCCCCCUCCAACCACCGAGCGCCGAAAACCCCUUUCAGAACCCUAAUUUCCCCAAUUCCCCUCCGGUCAACCACAGCGACCGCGUAAUCCGUCCCUCGCCGUUCCGCACUAUCCCGGCGCCUUGAAUUGUUGACGGAGAAGCAGCAUUUAGACGAUGUAUUGGUAGUUGAACAUGAUUUGCCUGACUGGGGAGAAGACCAUCACACGAGGAUCUAUGGGGAUGGCGAAGAUGCUGAUGUUCUCGAAGACGAUGAUGGCAUGACAGCUUCGGAAGGACGUUUGGGGAGGUAGCUUCAUGGGAUCCAAUGAGGACAGAGUGUAGGAAUGAAAAGCAUUUACUUGGUGAGACAUGUAAGGAGGAGAAAUGGUUGAAAUACAUUGAGUUUGAUCAGAAGAGAAUUAUUGGAUGCAGUAACUCAAGCUGGCAAAGCCACUAAGGCAUGAAGAAGCAAUAGAUCCAGAUGUAGGCCUUGCUGGUUUAUAGGUGGACAGUUUCUUCCCAGAAAAUCAGAAGUGGCUCGACCCUCCUUGUGGGCUCGAUCCUGGAUCUGAUUGUGGUGAUGGUGGAUGUCGGCAUGGAGGGAUUGUGUAUAGACGAUCGAUAUUGGAUUGCUGCCAAGUUGUCAAUGCUUGAGGCGAACCCGGCCAUUCACCAUUGAACCAGCGGUUAUUAAAAUAAUUUUGAAGUUCAUCCAUCCUUGUCAGCGAGGACUGCUCAGGGUUGAGUAAAAGCUACGAUUGCGUCAGGCCAGCACGACUUUGAAUGAGACAACGAUGCGUCGGGAGAAGCAAGGCAUGAUAAUUCUUGUCGUCUUUCUUCCUUAGUGGAUUUUUCAAGUGAAAUAGUUGGCGUGGAGGUAAAAACAUCCAAAUUUCCAAGAAGGAACUAUUUGAUAACAUCGAUCGAUCGAUCAUUCUACAUAUAAACAAGUCGACGAUGCCGCCGCCACAGGUCGGGAUACUUAAGCUACAUAUAAUCCAAACAGGGACAGCUUUCAUUAUUAAGGGGACUCAAAUGUGGUUUUUUUUUUCAUGGAUUCAAAGGAUGGUUUGAA
Molecule: long non-coding RNA, 1401 nt
Organism: Andrographis paniculata
Lineage: Eukaryota; Viridiplantae; Streptophyta; Magnoliopsida; Lamiales; Acanthaceae
Exons: 5
Source: RefSeq, a predicted model, not a curated record